UUUAUGCCAUUCAACAGUUGA
This 21-nucleotide non-coding RNA is filed under the name Caenorhabditis elegans. The record is from RNAcentral. Lineage: Eukaryota; Metazoa; Nematoda; Chromadorea; Rhabditida; Rhabditidae.